GAUGAACGCUGGCGGCGUGCCUAAUACAUGCAAGUCGAGCGAACGGACGAGAAGCUUGCUUCUCUGAUGUUAGCGGCGGACGGGUGAGUAACACGUGGAUAACCUACCUAUAAGACUGGGAUAACUUCGGGAAACCGGAGCUAAUACCGGAUAAUAUUUUGAACCGCAUGGUUCAAAAGUGAAAGACGGUCUUGCUGUCACUUAUAGAUGGAUCCGCGCUGCAUUAGCUAGUUGGUAAGGUAACGGCUUACCAAGGCAACGAUGCAUAGCCGACCUGAGAGGGUGAUCGGCCACACUGGAACUGAGACACGGUCCAGACUCCUACGGGAGGCAGCAGUAGGGAAUCUUACGCAAUGGGCGAAAGCCUGACGGAGCAACGCCGCGUGAGUGAUGAAGGUCUUCGGAUCGUAAAACUCUGUUAUUAGGGAAGAACAUAUGUGUAAGUAACUGUGCACAUCGUGACGGUACCUAAUCAGAAAGCCACGGCUAACUACGUG
RNAcentral lists this ribosomal RNA (497 nucleotides) under uncultured bacterium. RNAcentral describes it as "partial 16S ribosomal RNA". It matches the Rfam family "Bacterial small subunit ribosomal RNA", at positions 28 to 507 of the family's 1533-position model. The record is from RNAcentral.